This 246-nucleotide ribosomal RNA is filed under the name uncultured bacterium. RNAcentral's name for it is "partial 16S ribosomal RNA". It matches the Rfam family "Bacterial small subunit ribosomal RNA", at positions 29 to 300 of the family's 1533-position model. The record is from RNAcentral.
AGCGAACGCUGGCGGCAGGCUUAACACAUGCAAGUCGAGCGGGCGUAGCAAUACGUCAGCGGCAGACGGGUGAGUAACGCGUGGGAACAUACCUCUUGGUUCGGAACAACACAGGGAAACUUGUGCUAAUACCGGAUAAGCCCUUACGGGGAAAGAUUUAUCGCCGAGAGAUUGGCCCGCGUCUGAUUAGCUAGUUGGUGAGGUAACGGCCCACCAAGGCGACGAUCAGUAGCNGGUCUGAGAGGA